Molecule: transfer RNA, 73 nt
Filed under: Geranomyces variabilis
Lineage: Eukaryota; Fungi; Chytridiomycota; Chytridiomycetes; Spizellomycetales; Powellomycetaceae
Description: tRNA-Ala
Rfam family: tRNA
About the family: Transfer RNA (tRNA) molecules are approximately 80 nucleotides in length. Their secondary structure includes four short double-helical elements and three loops (D, anti-codon, and T loops).
Source: RNAcentral
GGGGUUGUAGCUCACUUGGCAGAGCGCCCGCUUAGCAUGCGGGAGGCAGGGGGUUCAAUUCCCUCCAACUCCA